Molecule: long non-coding RNA, 330 nt
Organism: Eptesicus fuscus (big brown bat)
Lineage: Eukaryota; Metazoa; Chordata; Mammalia; Chiroptera; Vespertilionidae
Exons: 3
Source: RefSeq, a predicted model, not a curated record
GGAGGUGGACACAGUGAACCUGCACUGCAUGGAGAUGUGCGUGCAGAGGUGCGACCACAAGUACUGGUACCUUAUGCCCACCAACCUGGAGGAGCUGAGCAGCAUCAUGUACAGGAGAGUAACCCAGGCUUAUUCAAAACCUAAAUCCACCAAAGAAAUCAGAAGCUCAUAGGCAUGAAGAGAAAAGGACGGUGUGUUUUUCUAGUCGUUGGUCAUGCGGGGCUACCUGAUCGCAGGCGGGAAGCUGCUGUCAAGAAAUUCUCAAGGAUAUAAGAGUUGCUGUGCUCCCCUGCUAGGACCUCCAAACAAGCUCUCUGGAGCCAAUUUACU